GACGAACGCUGGCGGCGUGCUUAACACAUGCAAGUCGAACGGGAACCUUUAUUUCGGUAAAGGUGAGAGUGGCAAACGGGUGAGUAACACGUAGGCAACCUGCCGACAGGAUGGGGACAACAUUCCGAAAGGAAUGCUAAUACCGAAUGGAGUCCGGGGAUGGCAUCAUCUCCGGAUAAAAGAUGGCCUCUGAAUAUGCUAUCGCCUGUCGAUGGGCCUGCGUCUGAUUAGCCAGUUGGCGGGGUAACGGCCCACCAAAGCGACGAUCAGUAGCCGGUCUGAGAGGAUGAACGGCCACAUUGGGACUGAGACACGGCCCAGACUCCUACGGGAGGCAGCAGUGGGGAAUCUUCCACAAUGGGCGAAAGCCUGAUGGAGCAACGCCGCGUGAGUGAAGAAGGUCUUCGGAUCGUAAAGCUCUGUUGCACGGGACGAAAACCGAGCUUGAGAAUAUUGAGUUUGGGGGACGGUACCGAGCGAG
Molecule: ribosomal RNA, 481 nt
Filed under: Selenomonas sputigena
Lineage: Bacteria; Bacillati; Bacillota; Negativicutes; Selenomonadales; Selenomonadaceae
Description: bacterial SSU rRNA
Rfam family: Bacterial small subunit ribosomal RNA
Source: RNAcentral